CCUACGGGAGGCAGCAGUGAGGAAUAUUGGUCAAUGGGCGCGAGCCUGAACCAGCCAAGUCGCGUGAGGGAAGACGGUCCUAUGGAUUGUCAACCUCUUUUGUCGGGGAGCAAAAGACGCUACGCGUGGCGUUCCGCGAGUACCCGAAGAUACAGCCUCGGCUAACUCCGUGCCAGACGCCGCGGUAAUACGGAGGAUGCGAGCGUUAUCCGGAGUUAUUGGGUUUAAUGGGUGCGUAGGCGGAAGAUCAAGUCAGCGGUAAAAUUGAGGGGCUCAACCUCUUCGAGCCGUUGAACCUGGUUUUCUUGAGUGAGCGAGAAGUAUGCGGAAUGCGUGGUGUAGCGGUGAAAUGCAUAGAUAUCACGCAGAACUCCGAUUGCGAAGGCAGCAUACCGGCGCUCAACUGACGCUCAUGCACGAAAGUGUGGGUAUCGAACAGGAUUAGAUACCCUUGUAGUC
This 459-nucleotide ribosomal RNA is filed under the name uncultured bacterium. RNAcentral's name for it is "partial 16S ribosomal RNA". It matches the Rfam family "Bacterial small subunit ribosomal RNA", at positions 338 to 795 of the family's 1533-position model. The record is from RNAcentral.